This 401-nucleotide unclassified non-coding RNA is filed under the name soil metagenome. RNAcentral's name for it is "partial contains 5.8S ribosomal RNA, internal transcribed spacer 2, and large subunit ribosomal RNA". The stretch from base 1 to 122 matches the Rfam family "5.8S ribosomal RNA", at positions 35 to 154 of the family's 154-position model. The record is from RNAcentral.
GAUGAAGAACGUAGCGAAAUGCGAUACUUGGUGUGAAUUGCAGAAUCCCGUGAACCAUCGAGUCUUUGAACGCAAGUUGCGCCUCAAGCCAUUAGGUUGAGGGCACGUCUGCCUGGGCGUCACAUAUCGUUGCCUGAUGCCAGUUUCCUCGUGAUGGGUGACUGUGCAGGGCGAAUGAUGGCUUCCCGUGAGCAUUGUUGCCUCAUGGUUGGUUGAAAAUUGAGUCCUUGGUAGGGAGCGCCGUGAUAGAUGGUGGUUGAGUGACGAACGAGACCCAAUCAUGUGAGACCCCUACCGAAUUUGGCCUUCAUGACCCACAUGCGUCUUUGGAACGCUCAUGACGAGACCUCAGGUCAGGCGGGGCUACCCGCUGAGUUUAAGCAUAUCAAUAAGCGGAGGGA